GCAACCAGCUUGGUCAAACAUGACUUUUCCUCGGUGAAUCCAUGUUGACUGCUCCUGAUAACCUUCUUUUCUUCUGCUUGCUUGUUGUUCCAUCACAUUCCCAGGGAUUGAGUUUUAGGAUCCUUCAAAUUCCACGCCACAAGAUGUCAGUACAGUUUAAGCAACAGCAGAGCACUCUCAGAAUGUGAAUUGCAGUGCAAAGAGGCAAAAAAGAAGAUAGAAAACAUCUACAGAUAAUAAAUGAAGAAGUAAUUUGUUUACAAGUCACUUUCCCGUUUUCUCUGCUGGAUACUUUGAAUGUCAGCAUGAUAGAAGAGGGAGAGAUUUGUGGCACAUCUUUGUAACUUGACCAAUGAUCUGCUGCACAAUCCAUUAUUGCUGGAGACAUUUGCAUGAAAGCAAGACAUCCUGCAGUUACUUUCACAGAUGAGGUGGCUGUGUUUUUGUGAAGGUUAUUUUUGGCUUGAAACAGGUUUGGUUAAAAAUUAUGUCAAGCAUGAGUUUUCCUUGGUGCAGUUGUAAUGACUUGUCCAGCAAACACUGCAGGUUUCCACCCACCCCAGAGCAUAUCCAGCAGAGAAGAAUUCAUACAGCCACAAGAUAAAUCAUAUUUCCCACAGAGCAGUCUCCAGGAAAAAACUCUUUCUUCAAAUCAUCAAUAGACAAAUAAAUUGCAGAUUUGUUCUGAAA
Non-coding RNA from Phasianus colchicus (ring-necked pheasant), 690 nucleotides. NCBI's taxonomy places the organism in Eukaryota, Metazoa, Chordata, Aves, Galliformes, Phasianidae. The record is from RefSeq and is a predicted model, not a curated record.